AAGAAGCACCGGCUAACUACGUGCCAGCAGCCGCGGUAAUACGUAGGGUGCGAGCGUUAUCCGGAAUUAUUGGGCGUAAAGAGCUCGUAGGCGGUUUGUCGCGUCUGUCGUGAAAGUCCGGGGCUUAACCCCGGAUCUGCGGUGGGUACGGGCAGACUAGAGUGCAGUAGGGGAGACUGGAAUUCCUGGUGUAGCGGUGGAAUGCGCAGAUAUCAGGAGGAACACCGAUGGCGAAGGCAGGUCUCUGGGCUGUAACUGACGCUGAGGAGCGAAAGCAUGGGGAGCGAACAGGAUUAGAUACCCUGGUAGUCCAUGCCGUAAACGUUGGGCACUAGGUGUGGGGACCAUUCCACGGUUUCCGCGCCGCAGCUAACGCAUUAAGUGCCCCGCCUGGGGAGUACGG
This 403-nucleotide ribosomal RNA is filed under the name Micrococcus luteus. Its description in RNAcentral is "bacterial SSU rRNA". It matches the Rfam family "Bacterial small subunit ribosomal RNA", at positions 485 to 885 of the family's 1533-position model. Lineage: Bacteria; Bacillati; Actinomycetota; Actinomycetes; Micrococcales; Micrococcaceae. The record is from RNAcentral.